GUGCUUGCUUCAGCAGCACAUAUGCUAAAAUUGGAACCAUACAGAGAUUAGCAUGGUCCCUGUGCAAGGAUGACACGCACAUGUGUGAAAUAUUCGAUAUUUCU
This 104-nucleotide small nuclear RNA is filed under the name Sciurus vulgaris (Eurasian red squirrel). The record is from RNAcentral. Lineage: Eukaryota; Metazoa; Chordata; Mammalia; Rodentia; Sciuridae.